ACAGUACACUUGUGAUGGUGAACAUAGAAAGAUCGUUAUUUAUUAGAGUAGGUAGAAGCUUUAUAAUGUAAAUGUUUUUACCAAUUCCUUACUGAAUAGAUAUUUGGAGAAAUUAAGAAAAUAAGGAGGCUGGAAGUGUUUGCUGUAGAGAAAAACUGCAUCAUUGAUUUCAAAAUGAAGGCACAGAAAAUAACAGCAAUUUAUUGCACAUUGGGUCCCAGAGUCUGGAGGAAGAGAGGAGAGUCACAGAAUCCA
Long non-coding RNA from Esox lucius (northern pike), 255 nucleotides. RefSeq lists it as uncharacterized. The record is from RefSeq and is a predicted model, not a curated record. The transcript is spliced from 3 exons. NCBI's taxonomy places the organism in Eukaryota, Metazoa, Chordata, Actinopteri, Esociformes, Esocidae.